Molecule: long non-coding RNA, 845 nt
Organism: Pundamilia nyererei
Lineage: Eukaryota; Metazoa; Chordata; Actinopteri; Cichliformes; Cichlidae
Exons: 3
Source: RefSeq, a predicted model, not a curated record
UACUCGGAGCGGGUCGGUCGCGCACUGAACAGAACCGCUUUCGUCCUCUCAAUGACAAAUAUCUCGCUCUAUUUCUCUGUCCAACUGGUUUCCCUGGCAUGGGCCAGGGAUCUGUCCUCACGCUGAACCUCCCAGGAACACGCUUGCCAAACUGGGCUCACAGCAACUAAGCAGAAAAAAAUUAAGAUGGUGGGGAGAUUAUCGCCAAUCUCGGGAUUAAAACUCGUCACACCUUCCAUGACUGAGAGAUGAUGACCGACUGCUAAGUGGCAGCCAUAAACAGGAACGAUAGCCCAGCUUGAAACGAAAAAUCCUGAAGGAGAAUGUGCGGCCAUCUGUUCAUAACCAGAAGCUUUAGUGAACAGCAGGACAGUGAUCUGAAACACACCAGCAAGUCCACCUCGGAAAUAUAACAAAUAGCAAAAACAUCCUUUCCUUGUGCCUGUCCAUCCGCCCGGCUGGCUGGACCGCUCUCCACCUGUGAGGUUUUUAUUCAACCACCAAACUGAAUUGGUGAACUGGGCUUGAUUGGCUUCUCCAGGCAUUCUUUGUUGCUCUCCAAGACCACUGGGAAAACAGCCAGCAGGAAACCAGAUGACAGCAGUGGAAAGUGUGAACAACAAUGAAGAGGAAGAGAGAGGGAACCUUGCAUAACCAACAGCACAGGAUAUUAUGUGGUGACAAAUUACAUGGCAACAAAUGAGGGAGGAGAGACAAUGAAAAUGCAUACAAUUAAUUUGAAUGAUCUGCCAAAGUUUGGGUUUUAAAUAAGUGUGGUUAAGCUGAAAAGGUGUACAUUGUUUUCUCGGCAUUGUCACUGUUAAAUAUAACAAUCCAUAUUAAAA